CCGAGUUUACAACUCCCAAACCCCUGUGAACAUACCUAUACGUUGCCUCGGCGGAUCAGCCCACGCCCCGUAAAAAGGGACGGCCCGCCCGAGGACCCCUAAACUCUGUUUUUAGUGGAACUUCUGAGUAAAACAAACAAAUAAAUCA
Molecule: unclassified non-coding RNA, 148 nt
Filed under: soil metagenome
Description: partial internal transcribed spacer 1
Source: RNAcentral